AAAUUUAAGCAACUGUCAUUUGACUGUUUGAAUGAAUAAUCAGAUCUUAUACUCACUCAAAUCUUCUCUUUCAGCAGAGAACACAGAACUUGCAUCGUUCCCCAGCUGACCCUAGUAUUCAGAACUCAGAUGAAUGUGAGGUGUGCCGGGAUGGAGGAACACUCUUCUGCUGUGAUACUUGUUUCAGAGCCUUCCAUGAGGACUGUCAUAUCCCAACAGUGGAAGCUGAGAUAACACCAUGGAGUUGCAUCUUCUGUAGAAUGCAGUCCUUAGGAAGUCAACCGAGUCUUCCAGAAUCUGAGAUACUGCAGAGGGAGAUGGCUCCCCAGGAACAGUUGAAGUGUGAGUAUGUUCUCUUGAGAGUCUAUUGCUGUUCUGAGAGCUCCUUUUUUUUCCAAGAUGCCAUAUUAUUAUUAUUUUAGAGAGAUGACUGUGGGUGUGCAAGAGCCUAUGUGGUUGGACAU
Molecule: long non-coding RNA, 464 nt
Organism: Mus musculus (house mouse)
Lineage: Eukaryota; Metazoa; Chordata; Mammalia; Rodentia; Muridae
Exons: 5
Source: RefSeq, a predicted model, not a curated record